CCUGAACAACUCAAAACUGUGUUCUCAUUCUACAAUGAUUUCCAAAAGCCAACUAUGAAUCCCUUUACCAAGUUGCUUGUACAAGGAAUUGUAAAUCUUGAUGGAGAAAAAUGGGUCAAACACAGAAAGAUAAUCAACCCUGCAUUUCAUUUAGAAAAGCUCAAGGUAUCUAUAGCUUUUUCUAAAAGUGAAAGAGAUGACUAUUUCAGUUUUUUUUUUCUUUCAAAAUACACUUUUAUUAUUAUCUAUAGUUCCUAAGAAACAAGAAAUGCAAUAAGAAAACGAAAAAAAGUUAUCAAACGAAGUACCUAAUUCUAAGUUCUCACACAUACCUUUACAUUGGCUCGUAGGAUAUGGUACCAGCAUUCUAUCACAGUUGUAACGAGAUGGUUAGCAAGUGGGAAAGCAUGGUCUCUAAAGAGGGAUCUUGUGAGUUAGAUGUAAUGCCUUAUCUAAAAAAUAUGGCUUCUGAUGUGAUUUCUCGGACUGCAUUUGGGAGCAGCUAUGAGAAAGGAAAAAAGAUCUUCAAGCUUCAAACUGAACUAACUAAUUUUGUGAUUCAAACUACCUUAGGGAUAUAUAUUCCUGGAUGGAGGUAAAAACACUAUUUAUAUCCAACAUGAUUGUAUAUACAUCUAUUGUGAAAUAAUUCAUGUCAUGAUUAUUAUUUUUUGUGCAGAUUUCUACCCACAAAGUUAAACAGAAAAAUGAAAGAGAUAAGCAAAGAGAUAACAACUUUGAUAUUGGGUAUUAUGGAUGAAAGAGAAAAGUCUAUGAAAGCAGGUGAAGCAAUACAAACUGAUCUAUUAAGCAUUCUCAUGGAAUCCAAUAUGAAUGAAAUUAAACAACAUGGAAACAAAAAAGACAUUGGAAUGAGCAUAGAAGAUGUUAUUGAAGAAUGCAAGCUUUUCUAUAUUGCUGGCCAAGAAACUACAGCAACAUUACUAGUCUGGACGAUGAUAUUGUUGAGUUCAUACUCAGAAUGGCAAGAGCGUGCAAGAGCAGAAGUCUUUGAGAUCUUUGGUAACAAGCAACCAAAUUAUGAUGGUUUAAAUAGACUAAAAGUUGUAAGUGUGAUAUCAUUCUCCAACGUUUACUCUCUAUUAAUCUUUUUUUUUUCAUUUUGAUUUCAUCUCAUAUGUGAAAUUUAAAUGCCCAUCUUCUAGUAUAAAACAAUCACAUGAGCAAGUUUUGGAGGUAUGAGUGAAUAUUCUUGGAAUGUUUUCUAACUAAAUCUCAAUCAAGCUUAUUGUCUUUAGAAGUUGAAGAGUAUAAAGGCUACGUGAUAAUUAAACUUGACAUCUAAGAAGCACAAACAUUUUAAUUUAACUAGGGUGUUUGUGUGUCAGACACUUAAGACACUCUAAUAGGUUUCAAACACCUUGUUAGUAUAAUAGAUUUAUGUUAGAAAACUAGUUGUACAGUGUCAAACAAGUCCAACAUUUAUUUAUAUGCAACCAAUGAUGAUUGGUAUACUAAAUAAUUUAUAAGCAUAUAAAUGAAGGACUUCUUUGACCUUGAAGUUUUUUUCUUGUAUAAAACUGGAUUAAACAUGUCCUUAUAAUGCCCAUGUCCUCAUUUAUAACAGUGGCCACUAUGUGGUCUCGUGUCGUGUCAUAUUCAUAUAUUGUAUUUGUAUAUGUGUUUCUUAGCAAGAUAAGUUGUAAAAGAGUGACACAUUGGCAUGUGACUUUUGAGAAUAAUGUGUCCUAAAAAGGUAUGUACAUGACAAGUGGCUUUUGCAAUGGUGCAGGUAACUAUGAUCUUCAAUGAGGUCCUCAGGUUAUACCCACCAGGGAGUCUGUUUGUUCGCAUUGUUAGGAAAGAAACAAGACUUGGAAAUUUGACUUUACCAGGAGGAGUAAUGUUAGGCUUACCAAUUGUUCUUAUCCAACGUGACCCUGAGUUAUGGGGAGAAGAUGCACAUGAAUUCAAUCCAGAGAGAUUUUCUGGAGGAGUUUCUAAAGCAACAAAAAAUCCAAGUGCUUUUAUACCAUUUGGAUGGGGUCCUAGAAUAUGCAUAGGACAAACCUUUGCUAUGAUUGAAGCAAAAAUGGCAUUAUCAAUGAUUCUACAACGUUUCUCAUUUGAGCUUUCGCCAUCGUACACACACUCUCCCAUUGCCAGUUUAACAACACAACCUCAACAUGGAGCUCAUAUCAUACUACACAAACUCUAGCUACCCUCUUAAAAUAUAUAUUAUUAGCUUGCAAAUUAUAAAAAGGCUAGGAAAGUACUCUGCUGCUUUGUCUAUGUAUAAUUUCAAAUCCUUUGUGAAAAAGAUACCUACACAAGGAAUUGAUAUCCUUUCAACUAGACACCUUUUCACUGCUACCCAGCACCUAAAUAAUAAACAGUUUUCAGGCUUGGGAUGUGAUUAAUGCUUGUUAUUGCACCAUUUUCUACUAAUAUUCACAAACUUUUCACCAUUUGAAAGGAAACUCAAUAUCCCUAGUCAAAUUUAUGCACUACAACUUUUGAAAACUAACCUUUCUUUCUCAUUAGUCCCCCUCAACAGCAUUCUACCAUAAAAUAUUCCAUACAUAAAACAAAAUGAUCAAAAUGAGAUGAUGAGACUGUAAACACCAAUUGUAAUACCCAAACACAGAAAUUCAAGAAGAGAAGUCUGUAAUUCUUGGAAACAUCUAACUAAAAUAACAUUAUUAGUUCAGACUAUAGUUUUGUUUGAUUAGAGUUCAUACAAAAGUACAUAAAUAAAAAUGGUCAAAAUCUAAAUGGUUGCGUUGCAUAUAUAAAUGACAACACAACAUGACAUAGAGGUAACUAAGAUUUGUAAAUGAGAUAAUUCUUAGACCAAUGGAUCAAGUCGUGCAAAAUGAAACAAAACUUAACCAACUAUUUUACCUAAACUGAUUGGGAUUUAUGGGGUGAGGGGCACAUGAGUUUACCAAAAAAAAUUAGAUAAAAGUUUAGUGAUAAUAAUCACUAAUACUUCUAACUAUAAAUAUUUAAAAAUGGAGUGAUUGAUAAUUAAAAUUAACCAAAAAAUUAGAAAAGGUAACUGAAUAAUAAAUUACAAACUCUAAAUAGAAAAUUUUGAGACCAAUCACAAAUUGUCACAUCAUUUACUAAAUUAAUGAUGAAAAAUACAAAUAUUUAAAUUUGAAACUAAUUAAAAAAUUGACAGGUGUCCUAAAUUAAAAUUGAAAACAUAAAUGAGUCAAUUCUAAUGAUGUCACAUGUUUUCAUUAUGACCGUUGGAUCAAGUUAAUUAUUUUGGUUCAAUUAAAUAUUAUGUACUUGAGCUAAGUUCAAAUGAGCCCAAAAGUAAGCUUAAUUUAGCUCGAAUACUAAAUAUGACCCAUAUCCAUAUUCAUGUGGUUAAGUCCAUAGGUCUAGUCCAUAGACCAACUAGACUCAACCCAUAAAGUUCAUCAAAGAACUCUAUAAAAAGAGGAGUUCUCCUCAUUUGUAAGAAGUUGAUCACCCUUGAAGAUUGAAGCUAUUUUGAAGAUACAAGAUAUCUUCCAAGACUCCAACUUCAACAAGCUCUCUUCCAAUACUCCAAAGAAUUUACCCAAGAGCUAGAAGACUCCCUAGCUUCUGAAGUCGACCGACCUCGAAGAUUAAAGCUCAUUUGAAGAUACAAGAUCUCUCUUCCAACACUCCAACUUCCCUCGAAGAUUAAAGCUCCUUUGAGUUUUCUUCUAAGACUCCAACUUCUCCAACUUCAAGAACAUCACGUGCUUUGCUUCCUCCAAAUCAAGCGUAGACGUUCAAUCGAGAGAGAAUCAAAUGAUCAAAUUCUAGCAAUCGAACCACAUCGCAUCAAAUCAACAAAACUAUAACAUCAACUUAAGUUCAACUCCACAAAUCAAAUUUCUUCAAAAAUCUUGUGCGAACAAAUUGGCAUGUCCAGUAAGACCUCUCUAUUUCUCAUCUCUCUCUCGCAUCAAAUCAACACAAGCACAACAUCAACUCAAGUUCAACUCCACGAAUCAAAUUUCUUCGAAAAUCUCGUGCGAACAAAUCUACAUACCUAAACCCAUGGACUCAACCACAUGGAUUUUGGUCAUAUUUAGCAUUUGGGCUCAAGUAAUCUUAUUUUUGGGCUCAAUUGAACUUAGCCCAAGUAAACAAUAUUUAAUUGAAUCAAAACAAUUAACUUAAUCUAACGGUUAGGAUGAAAACAUGUGACAUCAUCAUAAUUGGCCAAUUUAUGUUUUCAAUUUUAAUUUGGGACGCAUGUCAAUUUUUUUAAUCAGUCUCAAAUUCAAUUAUUUCUACUUUUCAUCGUUAAUUUAGUAAAUGAUGUGACAAUUUGCGAUUGGUCUAAAAAUUUCCUAUUCAACCGCUGAAAAUGGAACGAAGCAUGAGCUUUCCACACCGAUGACCAAUGCCCAUUGCCCGUUCUUCUUUUUACCAAAUAGGCCAUUAAUAAUAAAAAUAUCUUUUUAACUUUUCUCAUAAGAUAAAGAAAAGUGAACAAAUUAAAAAAAACACACAACAAUCAAAAUUAAACUGGAAUUUCUUCUAUGAUGGAUAAAUCUUCAAACCAAAUUGUUUGUGUGUUUAAUCUUUAAACACAUUAAAUUAAGUAAGCUCAUGUACAACAAAAUUAAAGACACUCCUAACAAAGGAAGUAGUCUAAUGCAAUACAACGAGAAUGAAUCUCACUAUAAUAAUAUCCUUAGACACAACGAGGAAUGAUGAAUAAAAUUUUGUAGUUUUACAACGAUGAUUGAUGACAUAUUUGUUAAAAGUAUAUGCAUCUACAAAAGAGAAAACACAACGUCCAAGAGACGAAUACAAAUUUUGUCCAACUUUCACUUCUGUGUUCGAAAUAUUAUUUUAAUUUUCAAUUUUAUGUUAAGUUAGUCUCUCAUAUAUCUCUCCUUCCAAAAAAACAAAAGUAAUUUAUAUAUUUUGGAAGUUUAAACCAAUUUCCAUCUAUGGGAAUUGAAAUUAAACAGUAUGCCGGCACACAUUCAUUUUUCUUUCUUUUCAAUAAAAACAAAAAUGAUGGUGAGGAUUACAAUGCAACAUAACAACUCUUUUUAGUUCAACAACAUACCAAUUAUUGUUUCACUUCAAUCUAUUCUUUUUCUUUUUGACAACACAUCAAUUGUUUUUUACAACAUUACGAAAGUAUCAUUCAAAUAUAAAUUACUGAUCAAUUCUUACUUUAUAUAUAUAUAUAUAUAUAUUAUAUAGAAAAAAAGAGUCAAGUAUUAUUUUCUAUGGCACAAAUGUUUUUCUUUUUAAAUAAUUCUUUAUUUUUAUAAUCAUUAAAUUGUAUAUAUAUAUAUAUAUAUUAUUGUGAUAAGAAUUGCAUAGAUUGUGGGGUUGUAAAUGGAGAAGAGAGAAGAGAAGUAAGAGAACUGAAAACCCCAAAGUUCAGUUAAUUGAGAUUUACAAAGAUGUCGUAUGUUGUAGAUACGAUUUCAAAUCGCAUAGUAAUGAUAAUCAGUUUCGUUUUAUUGUUAGUAUUAUUAAUAUUGGGAUGGAAAAUAGUUGAUUGGAUUUGGUUCCGCCCGAAGAAACUAGAGAAGCUUUUAAGACGGCAAGGAUUCACCGGAAAUUCAUACCGGAUUCUCCACGGCGACUUGAAGGAGAGUGCCGCCAUGAGAAAGGAAGCAAUGUCCAAGCCCAUGAACUUCUCCAAUCAUAUUGCUCCACGUGUCAUUCCCUCUGUCUAUCAUACCAUCCAAAUUUAUGGUAAACACUUUAUCCCCAACAUUUCCUUCUCAUCCUUUUCUUCUUCUUCAAAUAAGAUUUAAAGAAAUAAAUAAAAAUUAGGGUUUGAUUUAUUUUAUUACAUUUUUGUUUUGUGUUUGAAAAUUAAUUUUAUAAACUUUUAUUAUUUCAUCUCUAUUUUCAAUCAAUCCUUUACAAAACCAUGUAAAUUUUUAAACACUAAAACUACCCUACUUUUUUUCCUUCUUAGAAUAAUUUACUUAUUUUUACUUGAGAAAAAUUAAAACGUGUAAGCAAAUGGAAGGCUUAAUUUAAUUUAAUUUAAUUUAAUUUAAUUUUGUUUUUUUAAAAGAAAAUUAAAACAAUAAAACACAUAUUCCAAGUAACAAUUUGAAUAUUUGGAAAGAUAUAAUUUCAAUUUUAUAACAAUUUAGUCAUAAUUGAAAUCUAUCUUCAACUUUUAUUAUUUUAUGAGGUAUAAUAUACUAUGUAUUUGGUAAAAAUACCUUGUCACUUAUUAGUUUUUCGGCUUAUUAAUGAAAGAAAUUUUAUUCAAUUGUAACACUAAAUUCUAGUAUAGAAUUUAAAUAAUUACAAAUUUUAUAGGAUAAUAACUAAAUUUUUAUAUAGGAACUAAAUUGCUAUAUUGUUGUAAUAGCUCCAAGAAGUAAAAGUAUAUAUAUCAAUGGUCCUCGAAGUUAUGUUUACUGAAUUUCUACACAAAUUAGGAUUCUAAUAUAUUCAGCAGUCAACCUAAUAUAUACAUAGUUUAACAGAUUAAAAUAGAGAUCAUUGGAUAAAAAAAUUGAAAAAUUAUUUUAAAGGGUAGAAGUGUUCAAAAUAUUUUACAUCUAUCACUUCAGUAAAACUAUGCCUAAAAUGGAUUAUCAAGUCCCAAUAUAUAUGUUGAUUUUGAACUGUGCAGGCAAGAAUUCAUUUAUGUGGCUUGGUCCCAUGCCAAGAGUGCACAUAAUGGACCCUGAACAAAUCAAAACUGUGUUCUCAUUCAUCAAUGAUUUUCAAAAGCCAACUAUGAAUCCCCUUACCAGGUUGCUCGUACAAGGAAUUGCAAAUCUUGAAGGAGAAAAAUGGGCCAAACACAGAAAGAUAAUCAACCCUGCAUUUCAUUUAGAAAAGCUUAAGGUAUCUAUAUCUUUUUGUAAGAGUGAGAGAGAUUACUAUUUCUACUUCUUCUCUUCGGGUUUGAUAACCAUUUUGGUUUUUUUUUUCAAAAUACAUUUUUAUUAUUAUCUCUACUUCCUAAGAAACAAGAAAUAUAAUAGAAAGCGAAAAAAGUUAUCAAACGAAGCACAAAAUUUCAAGUUCUCACGCAUACGUUUACGUUGGCUUGUAGGAUAUGGUACCAGCAUUCUAUCACAGUUGUAACGAGAUGGUUAGCAAGUGGGAAAGUAUGGUCUCUAGAGAGGGAUCAUGUGAGUUAGAUGUAAUGCCUUGUCUUAAAAAUAUGGCUUCUGAUGUGAUUUCUCGAACUGCAUUUGGGAGUAGCUAUGAGAAAGGAAAAAAGAUCUUCAAGCUUCAAACUGAACUAGGUAAUUUGGUGAUUCAAGCUAGCUUAGGGAUAUAUAUUCCAGGAUGGAGGUAAAAACACUAUCCAUCUACAACAUGAUUAUAUAUACAUCUAUUGUGAAAGAAUUCAUAUCAUGAUUAAUAUUUUUUGUGCAGUUUUCUACCCACAAAGUCGAACAGGAAAAUGAAAGAAAUAAGUAAAGAGAUAACAACUUUGAUAUUGGGUAUUAUGAAUGAAAGGGAAAAGUCUAUGAAUGCAGGCGAAGCAAUACAAACUGAUCUGUUAAGCAUUCUCAUGGAAUCCAAUAUGAAUGAAAUUAAACAACAUGGAAACAAUAAGGACAUUGGAAUGAGCAUAGAAGAAGUUAUUGAAGAAUGCAAGCUUUUCUAUAUUGCUGGCCAAGAAACUACAGCAACGUUACUAGUCUGGACGAUGGUAUUGUUGAGUUCGUACUCAGAAUGGCAAGAGCGUGCAAGAGCAGAAGUCUUUGAGAUCUUUGGUAACAAGAAACCAAAUUAUGAUGGUUUAAAUAGACUAAAAGUUGUAAGUGUGAUAACUUUCUCCAACAUUUACUCUCUAUUAAUCUAUUUUUCUUAUUAAUCUAUUUUUCUCAUUUUGAUUUCAUCUCAUAUGUGAAAUUUAAAUGCCCAUCUUCUAAUAUAAAACAAUCACAUAAGCAAAUCUUGGAGGUAUGAGUAAAUAUUCAUGAAAUGUCUUCUAACUAAAUCUCAAUCAAGCUUAUUGCCUCUAGAUAUCAUGGAAGUUGAAAAAAAGAUAAAGGCUACAUGAUAAACUUGACAUCUAAAAAGCACAAACAUUUUAAUUUGACUUAAGGUAGACAUGUGUAAAAUUCUAUUCAACGUGUCUUCAUAAUGUUCAUUAUAUAACAGUGACCCCUCUAUUCAUAUAUUGUAUUUGUAUCUAUGUUUCUUAGCAAGACAAGUUGUAAGAGAGUGCAUGACACAUUGACAUGUGACUUUUGGGAAUGUGUCCUAAAAUUAUAUGUACAUGACAAGUGGCUUUUGCAAUGGUGCAGGUAACUAUGAUCUUCAAUGAAGUCCUCAGGUUAUAUCCACCAGUGAGUAUAUUUGGUCGCAUUGUUAGGAAAGAAACAAAACUUGGAAAUUUAACUUUACCAAAAGGAGUAAUGUUAGGCUUACCAAUUGUUCUUAUCCAACGUGACCCUGAAUUAUGGGGAGAAGAUGCACAUGAAUUCAACCCAGAGAGAUUUUCUGAAGGAGUUUCUAAAGCAACAAAAAAUCCAUGUGCUUUUAUACCAUUUGGAUGGGGCCCUAGGAUAUGCAUAGGACUAAACUUCACCAUGAUUGAAGCAAAAAUGACAUUGUCAAUGAUUCUACAACGCUUCUCAUUUGAGCUUUCCCCAUCAUAUACACACAGUCCUAGUGCAAGUUUAACAACACAGCCUCAACAUGGAGCUCACAUCAUACUACACAAACUGUAAUAAUUACCUUCUUAAACUAUGUAUUAGCUUGCACAAUUAUCAUAAUUAAGACUAGGAAUGUUCUCUGCUUUGCUUAUAACUUCUAAUAUAUCAUUUGAGAAAAUUUUAGUUACACAUGUUCUUUAUAUUUUCCUUUCAACUAAAUUUUCUUUUUCAUUACUCACUGGCUCGUAAAUAAACAGUUUUCAAGUUAAUGGCAUCUACAUUUUUUUCAACUUGGGAUGAUUAAUCCUUAUAAUUGUACCAUUUUUUGUUUAAUGUGAAGGAAAAAUCUCAUCAGUCAUAAAUAAUAAGUUCGUUAUUCAAAAUAGUGAAAUUCACGCAUUGAAAACUAACUUUUUUUUUUCUCAACGUCAUUUUUUCAAAUGGUUUGUAUGCAAUGAAUUUCUCAGCAGCAUUCUAUCUAACCUUCAACCAUAAAAAUAUACAACACAACAAAGGUUCAAAAUGAGAUUUUGAAACUCUACCCACCAAAUGUAAUACUCAUUGCAUAUGAAACUCUACCCACCAAUUCAAGAAGAGGCUGUAAUUCUUGGAAACAACAUGCAACUACAACUACAUUAUAUUUGGUAAGAGCAAACAAGAAUAGAGAUCAUGGAAGUCUUUGUAACUAGUGGCACUUACUCUAGUUUCUAACGUUUUAAUCUAUUCAAGUCCACGUACUUAAUUUGGCUGAUUUUCAUAAAGAUAACACACAUAAAUGGAAGAUAAAUUAGGAUUUGAAAAUGCUCAAAAAAGUAUAUUCUUUAACGUUUUAAAAGUGAUUAUAUACUUCAAUACUAUCCCUAAAAUUGCUACAAACCUAAAUAAAUAAUAUUCACCACACCACAAUUAUGAUAGGAUUAAACUCAUGGUCUAUGAAAUAAAUAUGUUGAAAGUGGGUUAAGGAACACAAUUAGGUACGACUUAUUAAUAAUUCUAUUAAGUUUCUGUUUUCCUUUCUUUGAAUUUAUGCUAAUGGUUUGAUUCUAUGUUACUGGAGCAUGAAGUUUGAUAAACAAAAUGAUUAAGUAUUGAAUAGGUACACUGUGGAAACAAAAACAAAAAUAAGAAACCAUCAAAAUGACACAAUUUAAGGAAACAUAAACCCAACAAAUAACCAACCCAGAAAAUUAGUACAUUUCAAUAGAUCAAAUGCUAAAAGUAGCUUUAUACUACUCUAACCUUCUUCAAAUGCUAUCAAGAAAAGAACAUAAGGGACAAAACAACUUCUUCUUUGAUGCCCUAAACAUAAGUUCUCUACAAAUAAAAAUAAAUUUACAUUACAUUAUAUCAAUAGAGAAAGAAAACCUCCCAAUCAACAAAAAAGAAAAAAAAAAACAAUCAAAACGUAUAAAUAAAAAUCUCUACAUCUCAUGAGCUUAAGAAAAAGUAUCAAGUAAAUUAUAAGCAGAAAGUUAGAAUGAAAUCAAUACCAAUCCAGCCCUAAACAACAUCCCUGCAAAAGUUGAAUGAAAGAGAUUUUUGCUUAAUACUUAUUAUAUUUUCUUGUUUCCAAAUAUGUUUAGUCAAAACUCAGAAAUCACCAUGAUUUUUCUAGUAAUUAGAGGGAGUUUCUCAAAACAAAGCUAGAAAAAGCAACAACUUCCAUGGAAAUUUGAAAGGGAGCAUUGGAUUGGAAGAGAUAUUCUAUUAUCUAGUGAAAGCAUAGGAAUCAAGAUAUUCUACACACAUAUAUGAUGUUGUUAUUGUGGAUAGUAUAAAUGGGUGUAAAAGGAGUAUAACUCUCAAACUUAAUUCUUUGAUUAUCACGAUUCCAUCUCUGUUUGGUCUCUGGAUCUCAUCGUCGGCUAACUCAUCACCUUCAGCCAUGGGUUCUUCAUCCAAAUUUGUUUCUUUUCACGCUGAAUUUUAUAUUUUAUAUUUGGUUCUUCAGCCAUGGGUUCUUCAUACAUCCUGUGGAUUAGCACGCCCUCACUUACUGUGUUCAUAUAUUAUUUCUGAUCUUGUUUCUAUUAGGAAGUUAGUUGUGGACUUUUGAAACUUUGUUUGGGCAGUUGUGUGUGGCUAAAUUUCUUAGAUGGAGAAACAUGAAGUUGCUCGUCUCAUCAGCACCAUUCUUGAUGGAACAAAUUAUAUUAUUUGGACCCACCAAAUGAGGAGUUUUUUGAUAGGUCGAAAGUUAUGGAGUUUCUUGCCCAUCAAGGUACUCUAAUUCAACGCUCAUGUCCUCACACAUCUCAGCAAAAUAGAAGAGUUGAACGCAAACAUCGUCACAUUCUUGACUCUGUUCGCGCUCAGCUUCUAUCUGCUGCUUAUCCAAAAAAAUUCUGGGGCGAGGUUGCCCUCACCUCUGUCUAUAUCUUUAAUCGUCUUUCUUCAAAAGUCACUCACAAUGUUUCCCCAUUUGAACGACUAUACGGUACUUCCCCCUCUUACUUCAAUCUCAAGAUUUUUUGUUGUGCAUGUUUCGUAUUAUUACAUCCUCAUGAACAUACCAAACUUGAACCACGUGCACGUCUAUGUUGCUUCUUGGGUUAUGGUACUGAACAUAAAGGAUUUCGUUGUUGGGACCUCAUCUCUCAACGAUUACGUAUAUCUCGUCACGUUACCUUUUGGGAACAUCCUCUGUUUUCUAGUCUCUCUUCAUUCCAUGAAUUUCUUUCAAGUCCUCACCCAUUCUUCAUCGAUCCUUCUAUUGACCUCUUUCCCACACUUGACUCGCCGUCUGACACUACAUCACAUUGUGGGUAAAAUGAAAGCAUUUGAAGUUAAUAUACUGUACAAAUACAAAUAAUAGAAAUAAUGGUUGAGAUUCACCGGUGAGAUCAGCGAUGCAAGGGGUGUUGGGUGGUGGCGUCGGCUGAAGGAGAGAAAUAGGAGGAUUUCUGGCGUGUUGUUCCCGACGUGCGUGAGAGAGGGAGAGAGAUGGUUAGCGGAGGGGAGGAAAAAUCGAGAAUGAGGGGUGACGCGUGGAUCUUCCAUAAAGAAGAAGAAAAAAAGAAGAAGAGAAGAAGAAGAAGAAGAUGAGGAGGUAGGGGAAGGGAAAAAUCUUAUUUUAAUAAACUUUUGAUUUAAAAUGAAUUUUAUUUUAAUAAAUUAAAUAAAUUAUUUUUUGUAUCUUUUAUGACACCAAAUAACUGUCACGAAAAGUGAAAUACGAAAAACUUCGUCUUUUCCCCCUAAAAACUCGAAUUUUUAGCUUUCAUGACAGUUUUUUUUUUCUCCUUUCAAUUUGGGAUGUAUACAACUGUCAUAGUAGGUAGUUUUUCUUGUAGUGGUUGUAUAUAUAUAAUUGAGUUGAAUUGGAUUAAUGAUAUUUGUUGCAUUUAUUUAUGAACUAAAAAAAUUGUAUUGGGUAUUUUUGUUUGCUUAACUAUUUAUGUAACUAUUCAUUAUCCAUUAUGCUUAAUACCCGUAUAGUCAUGUGUCACACUCCUUCAAAACACAUGACAUGUAAUUUACUCCAUACUUACCAAAUUGUUUAUAGAUAGUGGUAUUUGGUAAAUUUUGAAGAAUACACGUAUCCGUGAAAUGUCCAAAGAAACAGAAUGUAGAAUUUGUGGAGAUUUUGAGAUUUUCUAAUUUCUAAGAUUUCUUUAAUUUUUAUUUAUUUAGUUCAUUUAUUUAUUUUAAUAUUAUAUUUUCUCAAUUUUUGUGUUCCAGUUGUUUCUUAUUUAAAUACAACAAAAAUAGAUAUAUUAGAAUUGAAAUUGCUUAAAUAAAACUAUAAUAUGUAUUUGCUUUAAUAUGAAUUUUAGAAGUAAAAGUAUUAUUUGAUAUUUGAUGUUGUUAAAAAAAUAAGAUUAGGUUUUCAAUUUAGUUGUCGAAAAUCAUACCAAUAUGAGCUUAGUUCAACUGGCACAUGCAUCUUCUUGUGGACAAGAGGUCCCGAAUUCAAAUCCUCAUCCCAGCAUUUAUUAUAAUACAUUUGUAAAAAAGAAAAUGAUAUCUUUCAAUAAUUCAAUUAAUGAUUGUCCUAUGUAAUUUUGACGAAUUCAAAAGGUUACGUAAAUGUAAUUUUAUUUUAAAUUAAUGAUUGUCCUAUAUAAUUAAUGAUUGUCCUAUAUUAGAGUUAUGUGUAAUAUACAUAUAGCCAUGUGUCAUUGAAGAAGUUGAGAGUCCCACAUAUGAAAAACUAAGGAGACUCAUAUUCUAUAUAACAUAGAUAUGUUAGAUUCAUAUUCCAUAUAACAUAGAUGAGUUACUUCUUUUAAGUGACUACGUAAUCUACCGUUAUUUUGUAAGUUUUGAAGAAUACAGAUAUGGGUGAAAUGUAAAAAAAGAAAAUGGAAGAAUUUCCUAAUUCAAAGUUUUCUUUUAAUUUUUAUUUUCUUUCUUUAUUAUUAUUUAUUUAUUUAUUUAUUUUAAUAUUUUAUUUUUUCAACUUUCCUAUUUAUUGCGCCUUAUUUUUACCCCAAGAAACUAUUGCUUAAAUAAAACUACCAUAUAUAUUUGCUUUAAUAUGAAUUUUAGAAGGAAAAGUAGUAUUUGAUAUUUCAUAUUAUGUUAAAAUACUAUAACUAUCCAAAUAUUAAUGGGGUGGACAAUAAUAAUAUAUCUUUCAAUAGUUCAAUUAAUCAUUGUAAUUAUGACAAAUUAAAAAGUUUACGUAAAAGAUAAUGAAUACUUUAAUGACAAAUUAAAAAGUUUACGUAAAUGAUAAUGAACACUUAAAUGACAAAUUAAAAAGUCUACUUAAACGAUAAUGAACACUUCAAUCAAUUUUUCUUCCACCUCAACAAUAAAUAUAUAUAUUUCAACUCACCAAUAUCUUACUGUUAAUUUUGCAUAUGCUCAUUUUAAAUAGUUGUAAAAAAUUUAUUUGUUUUUCUUUUAAACUGACUUAAUUUCUAAAUUAGAUAUUUUAGAAUGUAUUCCAUACACAUUUGUAAUAAUAAUCAUUUUGAAAGAAGUUGUACUUAGGCUAUAUAACUUUAAAGUAAGGUGUUAAAAGAUUAAUACAUGUUUUUCUUUUCUUUUUGUUUUUUAUAGUUUAACAAAUAAAAUAAAAGUAACGAAGAUCAUUUCAACUUAAACAAACAAAAUAUAUAUCAAUAAUUGUUUAGUUAGGUUGAGAUUUGGCUUUUAAAUCAACUAAUUAGUAUAUUAGAAAAGCAAUAAAAUUAUUAUAAUUUAAGUUCAUAUUUAGGAGAUGAUUUAACUUAAGGUUUUAUAAAUAUAUGAGAAUAAAAAAUGUGUUUGUAUUUAAUUUAUGACAUUAAGAAUCAAAUAUAGAUUAUUUGAUAAAUAAAUAAUAAAUAUGAAUCUAAUAUAUUGAUAAAAGUUGAGUAAUUAAGAACCACUAAUAGUUUUAACUAUAAUUAUUCAAAAAUCAAAUAAUUAAUAAUCAAAAUUAACCAAAUAUCAAAUGUCCAAAAAACAAAGUAAUUAUCCAAUUAAUAUAUUUUAAUGAAAGUGAUACUAAAUAAUAAAUUAUGCAUGAAAAUGUUAUCAAAUUUUCCUAAGAGUUAAGUAAUGUGGAUGUUGUUUUUUUCUUUCUUUUUUUUUUUUUUUGUAUGAUAAUAUCAUCAUCUUUGACAUAAAUAAAUGAUAUUUUAUUUAAAUUCUGUGAGAUCACUUUGACAAAUUGUAUGCAAUAAUAAAGUAUUAAAUCACUCAAAUUUAAUUUUCAUUAAUUAAUUUUAAAUAGUUAAUUUAUUAUUUUAAAUUAAUAUUCUUAAACAGUAUAACUUUAUAUAUUAUAUUCAUAGAAAAGAAUAACUUUAUGAAACAAAUUUAUAACAAUAACAUAAAUAAUAGAAGAUGUAAGAAAAUAAAUAUGUUUAAAAGAUAAACAUAAUAAUAUGUCCCCGAAUACAAACUAUAUAAUAUAAUAAUCUACUCUAUCUUUGUUCGUCUUCUAAAUUAGAAAAAAUAUAUAUAUAUUUCUAAAUAAGAAGAAAAUGUUAGUAAGACAAUUAAAAAGUUAAUUCAAAUAGAUGAAAAUGGGACGAAACAUAAGAUCUAAUAAUAGAACUUUAAACAAAUUAAUUUCGAUAUAUUGUGAUUGAAAUUAAAUAGUGUUGUAUUUUCAAUAAAACAAAAAUGAGGGUGAGGAUUACAAUCUAACAUUUCAACUUGCUUUUUGAGUGAGAGAGAUUCAAAUUAAUCUAUAACUUUGCAAUCUUAAAAUAUGUGUUAAAGUCACUGCAAUAACAUUAAUAUUAAAGUGACAUAUAAAUAGGAUUAAAUGAGUAAAGAAAAGACUUUUAAAUUGAGAAGAAAAAAAAAAAAAGAUGAACACACGAAUUAAGUCGAGAAAAUUUUUUUCUUAAAUUGUAUUCUCAUUUUUUUAAAAAAAAAUUCUCAAACAUGUCAUGUGAUCUUUCGAGAAAUCUUAAACCAUUUAAAAUUAUUGAUUUAUUCUUUAGUUUUAUAUAUAUAUAUAUAUAUAAAGUAAAGUAUUAUUUGAUCCUAAAGUUUGAUUUAAAUCAUAUUUAUGUCACUGAAUUUUCAAAUUGAAUAAGUUUACCAAAGUUUGGUGUUCAUACCACUGUUAGGGUAAUCUCAUUUUCUAUGGCACACAUUUUUUCUUCUUAAAAAAAUCUUUAUUUUUAUAAUCAUUAAAUUUAAAAGGAAAAAAUCAAUAUAUACUUUUAUUGUUUUUCUAUAUGUAUAUAUAUGUAUUGUGAUAACAAUUGGAAAGACUGUGGAGUUAUAAAGAGAGGAGAGAAACUUAAGAGAACUCAAUACCCAAUUUGAUUGUUAUUGAGAUUUAGAAAGAUGUGGUAUGUUCCCCAUAUGAUUUCAACUCCCAUAGUGAUCAUAACAAGUUUGGUUUUAUUGUUAUUAUUAUUCUUGGGAUGGAAAUUAGCUGAUUGGAUUUGGUUCGGGCCGAGGAGAUUAGAGCAGCUUUUAAGACGGCAAGGGUUCACCGGAAAUUCAUACAAGAUUCUUCACGGCGACAUGAAGGAGAGUGCUGCCAUGAGAAAGGAAGCACUGUCCAAGCCCAUGAAAUUCUCCAAUCAUAUUGCUCCACGAGUCAUUCCAUCUGUCUAUCAUACCAUCCAACGUUAUGGUAACACUUUAUCCCCUACUUUUCCUUCUCAUCCUUUUCUUCUUCUUCUUCUUUAUCUUUUUCUUCAAAGAAAUAAAUAGAAAUCAGGGUUUGAUUUGGUAUUGAAGGGCUGUGUUUUAUAUGAUUAGAUAAUUUCUAUUUAUUGUUUGAAAAUUAAUUUUAUAAACAUUUAUUUCAUCUCUGUAUGUUGUUCUAUUAUCAACUAUCUGUUUUCAAAAACAAUGCAAAUUUUUAAAGAUUUUACCAUAAAUACUGGUGUUAUUGGGAGGCUUAAUUUUAUUUUAUUUUUCUUAAAGAAAAAAAAACACUUUUGAUUCUUAUACUACUUUGGUUUUGCUUGUAACGAUUUACUUUCAAUUGUCUAAUAAUUUAAUUCAUCUAAUAUGUCCAUAUUUAUUAUUUUAUGUCUUAGAUAUACUGUGUAUUUGGUAAAGAUAUUGAGUUUAUCGAUUUUUUUUUAUGAAAGAAAUCCUAUUAGAUUGUAACACUAAAUUCUGCACAUAAUUUAAACAAUAAUAACUAGAUUUUUAUACAAGGAUGAUACACAAUGGACUAUCGCAACAAAUAAAAGCUUAAGGGGGCUAAAAAUAUAUAUAUCAAGGAUCCUAAAAGUUAUGAUCAGCAGCCAAAUCGCGGCAAAAAUGGAUAUUUACAUCUAUCACUUUAGUAAAACGGUGCCUAAAAUGGCUCCCAAUAUGUUGAUUUUGAACUGUGCAGGCAAGAAUUCAAUGAUGUGGCUUGGUCCCUUGCCAAGAGUGCACAUAAUGGACCCUGAACAACUCAAAACUGUGUUCUCAUUCUUCAAUGAUUUCCAAAGGCCAACUACGGAUCCCUUUAUCAGGCUUCUUAUACAUGGACUUGUAAGUCUUGAAGGAGAAAAAUGGGUUAAACACAGAAAGAUAAUCAACCCUGCAUUUCAUUUAGAAAAGCUCAAGGUAUCUAUCUCUUUUUGAAGAGUGAAAGAGAAUACGAUUUCUGCUUCUUGUGUUUUUUUUUCUUCAAAAUACAUUUUUAUUAUUAUCUCUAGUUCCUAAAAAAUAAGAAAUAUAAUAGAAAACGAAAAACAUAUAAUUUCAAGUCCUCAUACAUACCUUUACCUUGGCUUACAGGCCAUGGUACCAGCAUUCUACCACAGUUGUAAUGAAAUGGUUAGCAAGUGGGAAAGCAUGGUCUCUAGAGAGGGAUCUUGUGAGUUAGAUGUAAUGCCUUAUCUACAAAAUAUGGCUGCCGAUGUGAUUUCUCGAACUGCUUUUGGGAGUAGCUAUGAGAGAGGAAAAAAGAUCUUCAAGCUACAAACUGAACUAACCAAUUUGGUGAUUCAAGCUAGCUUAGAGACAUAUAUUCCAGGAUGGAGGUAGAAACACUAUCCAUCUUACCACAUAAUUAUAUACAUCUAUUGUGAAAAAUUUCAUAUCAUGAUUUAAUAUUUUGUGCAGAUUUCUACCCACAAAAUCAAACAGGAAAAUAAAAGAGACGAAUAGAGAGAUAACAACUUUAGUAUUGGGCAUUAUAAAUGAAAAGGAAAAGUCUAUGAAAGCAGGUGAAGAAAUACAAACUGAUCUGUUAAGCAUUCUCAUGGAAUCCAAUAUGAAUGAAAUUAAACAUGGAAGAAACAGUAAGGACGUUGGGAUGAGCAUACAGGCUGUUAUUGAAGAAUGCAGGCUUUUCUAUAUUGCUGGCCAAGAAACUACAGCAACAUUACUAAUUUGGACGAUGGUAUUGUUGAGUUCAUACUCAGACUGGCAAGAACGAGCAAGAGCAGAGGUCUUUGAGAUCUUUGGUAACAAGAAACCAGAUUACGAUGGUUUAAAUAGACUAAAAGUUGUAAGUGUGAUAACAUUUCCAACAUUUACUCUCUAUUAAUAUAUUUUUCUCAUUUUUAUUUCAUCUUCUAAUAUAAAACAAUCACAUGAGCAUGUAUUAUACGUGUCCUUAUCAUGCCCAUAUGUCCAAGAUUAUAUAACAGUUAUGUGCCACUAUAUAGGUGUUUUGUCGUGUCAUAUUCAUAUAGUGUAUUUGUAUCUACGUUAGCAAGGCAAGUUGUGCGACUUUUGGGAAUGUGUUAUAAAACGGUAUGUAUUAGCUAGUACAUGACAAUAGACUUUUCCAAUGAUGCAGGUAACUAUGAUUUUCAACGAGGUCCUCAGGUUAUACCCACCAGUGAGUAUGUUAGGUCGCACUACUAGGAAAGAAACAAAACUUGGAAAUAUGACUUUACCAGGAGGAAUAAUGCUGAGCUUACCAAUUAUUCUUAUCCAACGUGACCCAGAGUUAUGGGGAGAAGAUGCACAUGAAUUCAAUCCAGAGAGAUUUUCUGAAGGAGUUUUUAAAGCAACAAAAAAUCCAGGUGCUUUUAUGCCAUUUGGAUGGGGUCCUAGAAUAUGCAUAGGACAAAAUUUUGCCAUGAUUGAAGCAAAAAUGGCAUUAUCAAUGAUCCUACAACACUUCUCAUUUGAGCUUUCGCCAUCAUACACACACACUCCCUUUGCCGCCUUAACAACACAACCUCAACAUGGAGCUCAUAUCAUACUACACAAACUCUAGUGCCUCUUAACCUAUUUAUUAUUAGCUUGCACAUUAUCAGAAGGCUAGGAAAGCACUGUGCUUUGUCUGGUAUAAUUUCAAAUCCUUUGAGAAAAAGAUACCUACUACAAAAGGAAUUGAUAUCCUUUCAACUAGACACCCUUUUCAUUGCCACCCAGCUCCUAAAUAAUAAACAGUUUCAGGCUUGGGAUGUGAUUAAUGCUUGUUAUUGCACCAUUUUCUACUAAUGUUCACAAACUUUUCACCAUCCGAAAAGAUACUCAAUAACAAUAGUCAAGUUUAUGCACUACAAUUUUUUAAAACUAACCUUUCAUUCUCAUUGUCAUUUUCUCAAACAAGUUAUCUGUAACAAUGAGUUCCUCAGCAGCAUUCUCGUAGACUUCAACCAUAAAAGUAAUCCAGAACAUAUAUGAAUACUUGACACGAUUUAGUUGAGAUUACGUUUUGGUUGAAAAAAUCUACCUUUAAAAAAUAGAUUACAAAAAGCCAUAUAUUAGGUUAAAGCAGAUUGGGACAAAAAGUGGAGGAUAGUGCUUUUGAAAAAACAAGAAAGAGAAGCAGAAGCCAAAACAAUGCACAAGUAUUAGUUGAUUUAUUAGAUAACGGGGAGAUAAAAACUACUUUGAAAUACAAGGGUGUUAAUUACUUGCUACUUGCAAAUACAUAAAUGACAACUUAGGGGAUUUAGUUUAGAAUCCGUACAUGAAACAAUGUGAAGGAAUUAUGAGAAUACAACUGUUCAAUUAUGUCAAAAGAAAAAAUACACUCCCAAACUAAGUUUUCAUAUUCUAAUUCAACAUUUCUUAUAUUUUACAAGUUAGAUUGGAGAUUUACAUAAACAUUUCGUAUCCUAAAUCAAACCAUUCAAUUCACAAAUAUAUCAAAAACAUCUUCAUCCUUUACUUGAAGAUAAAAGUUUCGUGAAGCUAUCAAAAACUAGCACCCAAAACGCCUAUCUCAAAUUCCUGAAAAAUGUUGAUAAAAAAUAGGGGACGACCACAUUAACCAAGUUCAUCCAGAAAAUACCUAUGACUGUAUUGAUUGAUUAGGAAAGAUAGAUAACUAUUGAUUACUUAAGAGAGAAUGAUUACGAGUAAUGAGACAAACCCAAAGGACCGACUGAGAUCAGAUCGAAUCGAAUCAAACGCAGCCGAAAAUUUCCACCGGUUAAAUGGAUUCAUCGCAAUAACCCCUAAUUCAUCUGUAUUUCGUUCAAACCAACAACUCCACUAAAGGAAAACCCUAAGCCACAGUAAACAACGUCGUUUGUCGAGAAAGAUCCCUAAAUGAACAGAAUUACACAAUCUAACUACAGAAAUACAUCACAUACUUCAACAUUCAAACCUAAUCGCAAGAAGAGGGGAAAACGAAUGAAUAAAUUGAAAAAAGGGGAAAAUUUAGGGCAGUUCCCUGAAUUAGAGCAUGAAUGAGAAACAUGCAAAACCUUGAGGCUGCCCCAAAACAAAUAUCGGCCGGGUGAAAUUGAGUACUCGAGUAUUCGAUUUACACGUCCGAGAACCCAUUGGAUCGGCCUUGAAGAAGAAGAGAUUUUCAAAAGGAAAAAAAGAAAGACGAAUGUAGAAAAGUCCUUCCUCAUCGAAACUGCAAAUUGCUUGAUUUAGAAUCAAACAUAGAGAUCGAAAGAAGUAGAGAAAGGAAACCAUUUGAUGUAUGCCCGCAACGGAACAGUAUCACCAUCUUCAUAUCGGUGCUCUGUUCUCUCGAAGGCAAUGUC
This 19888-nucleotide long non-coding RNA is filed under the name Cucumis sativus (cucumber). Its description in RNAcentral is "long non-coding RNA (CSAT_LNC001690)". The record is from RNAcentral. Lineage: Eukaryota; Viridiplantae; Streptophyta; Magnoliopsida; Cucurbitales; Cucurbitaceae.